RNAcentral lists this ribosomal RNA (320 nucleotides) under Kraken sp. RNAcentral describes it as "SSU rRNA". The stretch from base 102 to 320 matches the Rfam family "Eukaryotic small subunit ribosomal RNA", at positions 735 to 955 of the family's 1831-position model. Lineage: Eukaryota; Cercozoa. The record is from RNAcentral.
GAUUUCUGGUCUGGUGCGCCUGGCCCGCCGCAUCAGCGUGUGAGUGCCGGGUCGCGCCUGCCAUCCUUCUAGAAAACGUAUCUACCCUUCACUGGGCCGGAUACGGGAUCUAGAUCUUUUACUUUGAAAAAAUUAGAGUGUUUAAAGCAGGCUUUUGCUAUGAAUACAUUAGCAUGGAAUAAUAAUUUAGGACUUUGGCCCUAUUUUGUUGGUUUCUAGGACUGAAGUAAUGAUUGAUAGGGAUAGUUGGGGGUGCUCGAAUUCAGCGGCCAGAGGUGAAAUUCUUGGAUUCGCUGAAGACGAACUCAUGCGAAAGCAUU